GACGAACGCUGGCGGCGUGCUUAACACAUUCAAGUCGAACGGAAAGGCCCUGCUUUUGUGGGGUGCUCGAGUGGCGAAAGGGGGAGUAACACGUGAGUAACCUGCCCCUGACCUUGGGGUAACUUCAGGAAACUGGGGCUAAUACCGGAUAGGAGCUCCUGCUGCAUGGUGGGGGGUGGAAAGGUUCGGCGGGUGGGGAUGGACUCGCGGCUUAUCAGCUUGUUGGUGGGGUAGUGGCUUACCAAGGCUUUGACGGGUAGCCGGCCUGAGAGGGUGACCGGCCACAUUGGGACUGGGAUACGGCCCAGACUCCUACGGGAGGCAGCAGUGGGGAAUAUUGCACAAUGGGCGGAAGCCUGAUGCAGCAACGCCGCGUGCGGGAUGACGGCCUUCGGGUUGUAAACCGCUUUCGCCUGUGACGAAGCGUGAGUGACGGUAAUGGGUAAAGAAGCACCGGCUAACUACGUG
This 468-nucleotide ribosomal RNA is filed under the name uncultured bacterium. RNAcentral's name for it is "partial 16S ribosomal RNA". It matches the Rfam family "Bacterial small subunit ribosomal RNA", at positions 28 to 507 of the family's 1533-position model. The record is from RNAcentral.